AUUUCGACCCGAGGAUAAGGAGUUGGUAGUGCAGUUGUUAUUGUUUUCGCUACUCAACAAUCCAUGUGCUCCUCCCUCUUCUUAUAAUUUCGGCUUUCAACGAGUUUGGAUCGGCGACUAUUACUACGUCCGAUAUCCUGGCUAUGCGAGGUUCCGAGAUCUUUAUUCUCAACAUCUCGCUAGGCUUUUGUGGUGGCUAGAGUCAGGCGAGGAUAUUUUCUAUCCAACUUCUCGAUCUGCUGUGUUUUUACCUGAAUGUCUGCUGGAGGAAUUUGAAGAUUUUGUCUAGGAUAAUGAUGUGAAUGCAAUUUGUUUUCGUAGUGUUUUCAUUGUAGUGUUUUUGUUGGGUUGUUUAAUAAACUUUUGUUGGCUCUUUAA
Molecule: long non-coding RNA, 378 nt
Organism: Daphnia magna
Lineage: Eukaryota; Metazoa; Arthropoda; Branchiopoda; Diplostraca; Daphniidae
Exons: 2
Source: RefSeq, a predicted model, not a curated record